This 371-nucleotide ribosomal RNA is filed under the name uncultured organism. RNAcentral's name for it is "partial 16S ribosomal RNA". It matches the Rfam family "Bacterial small subunit ribosomal RNA", at positions 527 to 896 of the family's 1533-position model. The record is from RNAcentral.
GUACUGUGCGAACGUUGUUCGGAAUUACUGGGCUUAAAGGGUGCGUAGGCGGUCAGUCGAGUCGGGGUGUGAAAUCCCUCGGGCUCAACCGAGGAACUGCGCCCGAAACUAAUUGGCUUGAGUGAGAUAGGGGUGUGCGGAACUUCCAGUGGAGCGGUGAAAUGUGUUGAUAUUGGAAGGAACACCGGUGGCGAAAGCGGCACACUGGGUCUCAACUGACGCUGAGGCACGAAAGCCAGGGGAGCGAACGGGAUUAGAUACCCCGGUAGUCCUGGCUGUAAACGUUGAGCACUAGACGGGAGGAGCUUCGGCUCAUCCGGUCGUAGCGAAAGCGAUAAGUGCUCCGCCUGGGGAGUAUGGUCGCAAGGCUG